UUACACCAGCUUGCAUAUGUUGUCUUUUUCUUUGUUAUCCAUUAUUAACUUACAACCGGAAUUAAAUACAGAAAAAAUUAAAUUGAUCAUUAAAAAUGCCGUUUCUAACACUAGCGAUAUGAAUAGAGAUAGGUUUCAUACUUUUCUAAGAGUUUUUAACAAAAUUAUAUAAGAAUAGAGGAAAUUUUUCAUGUACAUUUGUUCUAGUAUAGUUUAG
Molecule: long non-coding RNA, 217 nt
Filed under: Lathyrus oleraceus (garden pea)
Lineage: Eukaryota; Viridiplantae; Streptophyta; Magnoliopsida; Fabales; Fabaceae
Description: Pisum sativum (pea) long non-coding RNA (PSAT_LNC019651)
Source: RNAcentral